CCUAAGUUACUUGACCUUUCUGGACCUCAGUCUGUAAUAUUCUCAUAGGAUUGUUGGAAAUUUUAAGUACCAUCUAGGGAAAAUGCUUAAUACGGUGGGGGUGGGGUGCUUUUCUUGUUUCCUUUUUUUUUUUUUGGCUGUGCUGGGUCUUUGUUGCGCAUAUAGGCUUCUCUAGUUGGGCUUAGUUGCCCCAUGGCAUGUGGGAUCUUACUUCCCCGACCAGGGAUCAAACCCAUGUCUCCAACACUGGAAGGUGGAUUCUUAAUCACUGGAUCACCAGGGAAGUCUCUUGUGUGUUUUCCUAGACUGAAUGAUCAUAUGCAAAGAAAUACAAUUAGCCUUGAAGUCAGAGCUUGAAAGGAAUAAGGUAUAGAAAACCUGCUACACCUGGUGGUCAGAACUUUAGUGUCUUUCCUGAUCAAGCACCAGAAAAGUGGAGCAAGGCUACCACCAUCCUCACAGGACUAACCCGAAAGUUUAACCAAGGGAUAAAAAUGCUUCAAAGUUGACAACGGGGUGAUCAGGGACAGAAGAGCACAGCCACGCGGGAGAGAAGCUUCCAGUUCUCACAGGAGGCAAGGGCGACACUCAACAGCAGUUCAUGCUCUCAGGAACUUCGGGUUUUCAGUGCAAAGAUAAAACAAUCCUACUGACGGACCUGCUUGAAGAAGGCAGCCUCACUUCUCCUAAUUCUUGACUGCUGUUGUAAGGGGUUCCUUUUCCCCAAACAGUGGGACUUGUGACCUGACUUAGUGUAUGAUACUUUCCUAGUAUCCUUGGAAGUCGUUAAAACCUGUUACCCAAUUAACAGCCAUGCUCAUAAAUGCAUAUUUUCUUAAUAGGAAAAGCACAGGGCUUCCUUCAACAACAAUUAUAGUAUCAGUGGGUAACCUGUCUGGAGAGGCUUCCUAUGAUGCUGGACAUCAUUCUAAGCAGUUUUUUCUUGUUUUGCUACACCACUCUGCAUGUGGGAUCUUAGUUCCCCAACCAGGGAUUGAACCCAUGCCCCUUAUAUUUGAAGGGGGGGAAUCUUAACUGCUGGACCACCCUGGAAGUCCUUUAAGUCCUUAUCAAAAGUCAGUGCAGUGGGGACUAUCUUACAGAAGACAUAAUGGAGGCACAGAGAGGUUAAAUAAAUUGCCAAAAGCCACACAGCUCACCUCGAUCAUCACCUCUGUGUCCAGAGGCCUUCCUAAUGACAAUACAGGCAUCUCCAGAUAAGACUGUGGACUAGGAAACCCUUGCCCUCUCCUGGCCUGAUUUAUAGACCUGGCUGUGAGAGUUUGACAGCCCUGACGAACAGGGCUGCUGAGCACGCUGGUGGCCAGUUGGAAAAAUACACGAAGCCAGGGAGUGGAAGGAGGCCUGGCCGCCUGGUGGGCUCUGAGUCACAUAGGUCAGCGGGAGCUGGCCCACUCAGCCUGUCACCCUCAGCUGUCUCUCUGCUGCACACGGAGCCAGGGCUUGGAGAUGGGAACUGCGAUUUAUAAGCUCUCAGGCAAAAUCAACUUUCGGGUGAAGAAAACCCACAUACCCGGUAGGUUCCCCUGGCUUCUGACUAUCUGACGGCACCCGGGCCACUGGGAGGACUGUCUUGACAUUGGUUCAGUUGUUCGUGCCUUUGAUGUUACAGAAGGACCCAGCUGGCCUUCAGGGCUGGGGAUAAAAGCUUCAACGGGGACUGCUGUUUGGGUUUCUUGUCAUCUGAGUUCUUUUAUAAGCCAGCUCACAAGUAAGCUUUAUUUUCUUGUAGACCAAUGUGCUUUCAAA
Bos taurus (domestic cattle) is the source of this 1770-nucleotide long non-coding RNA. The record is from Ensembl. NCBI's taxonomy places the organism in Eukaryota, Metazoa, Chordata, Mammalia, Artiodactyla, Bovidae.